Long non-coding RNA from Coregonus clupeaformis (lake whitefish), 227 nucleotides. RefSeq lists it as uncharacterized. The transcript is spliced from 3 exons. The record is from RefSeq and is a predicted model, not a curated record. NCBI's taxonomy places the organism in Eukaryota, Metazoa, Chordata, Actinopteri, Salmoniformes, Salmonidae.
AAAAAAUGGCUGUGAAUUUUGGUCUGUCUUUGAGAAUUACUUGGAUUUGUUGCCUGCUGAUUGUAGGGAUAACCUGUUAUCCUCCACAUAAAGGUGACUAUAGAUAUCUUCCCCAAAUUGCAACAAAGGGAACCGGCUCCUACGCCCCCGCAGCAACAAAGGGAACCGGCUCCUACGCCCCCGCAGCAACAAAGGGAACCGGCUCCUACGCCCCCGCAGCAACAAAG